UCAUGAAGGUGUCCUGAAGCAUAUGU
RNAcentral lists this non-coding RNA (26 nucleotides) under Mus musculus (house mouse). Lineage: Eukaryota; Metazoa; Chordata; Mammalia; Rodentia; Muridae. The record is from RNAcentral.